GGCCUAACACAUGCAAGUCGAACGGUAACAGGAAGCAGCUUGCUGCUUCGCUGACGAGUGGCGGACGGGUGAGUAAUGUCUGGGAAACUGCCUGAUGGAGGGGGAUAACUACUGGAAACGGUAGCUAAUACCGCAUAACGUCGCAAGACCAAAGAGGGGGACCUUCGGGCCUCUUGCCAUCGGAUGUGCCCAGAUGGGAUUAGCUAGUAGGUGGGGUAACGGCUCACCUAGGCGACGAUCCCUAGCUGGUCUGAGAGGAUGACCAGCCACACUGGAACUGAGACACGGUCCAGACUCCUACGGGAGGCAGCAGUGGGGAAUAUUGCACAAUGGGCGCAAGCCUGAUGCAGCCAUGCCGCGUGUAUGAAGAAGGCCUUCGGGUUGUAAAGUACUUUCAGCGGGGAGGAAGGCGAUAAGGUUAAUAACCUUGUCGAUUGACGUUACCCGCAGAAGAAGCACCGGCUAACUCCGUGCCAGCAGCCGCGGUAAUACGGAGGGUGCAAGCGUUAAUCGGAAUUACUGGGCGUAAAGCGCACGCAGGCGGUCUGUCAAGUCGGAUGUGAAAUCCCCGGGCUCAACCUGGGAACUGCAUUCGAAACUGGCAGGCUAGAGUCUUGUAGAGGGGGGUAGAAUUCCAGGUGUAGCGGUGAAAUGCGUAGAGAUCUGGAGGAAUACCGGUGGCGAAGGCGGCCCCCUGGACAAAGACUGACGCUCAGGUGCGAAA
This 724-nucleotide ribosomal RNA is filed under the name Enterobacter hormaechei. RNAcentral describes it as "bacterial SSU rRNA". It matches the Rfam family "Bacterial small subunit ribosomal RNA", at positions 45 to 758 of the family's 1533-position model. The record is from RNAcentral. Lineage: Bacteria; Pseudomonadati; Pseudomonadota; Gammaproteobacteria; Enterobacterales; Enterobacteriaceae.